This 263-nucleotide unclassified non-coding RNA is filed under the name Hevea brasiliensis (rubber tree). The record is from RNAcentral. Lineage: Eukaryota; Viridiplantae; Streptophyta; Magnoliopsida; Malpighiales; Euphorbiaceae.
CCUGAACCUUUUGUAAUGUAAUUACAAAUGAUGGUAAAUGGAGCUAUUCCUUUCUCAUUAUUCCUGUGAUACAUGGACAAAAUCCAAUUUCCAUUUCACGUGCCGGUGACUUCUCAAGCAUUAUAAACUCUGUAGAUCUGUUACAAGCUGAUAAAUGCGAGGAAUUUCCACUUGCUGAUCAAGCAGGAUGUAAUCUACAAUCAUGCUGAUAAUGACACAGCCUCUAUGGCACUGCCCAGUGGCCAUGCAGCUUCAACAAGGGA